AUGUUCGGGAUGCGGGCAUGCGGCGCAGCGGCGUCGUGGGUGGUGGGGUGGAUGGGCACGGAUGCGCACCUGUACGACGACCCGGAGGCCGUCGCCAUCCCGGCGCUGCUCGACUCCCACUUCAACGUCGACAAGGUCGACGCGCUCAAGCGCCUCCUCGCCCUCAUCGCCCAGGGGGUCGACGUCGCACACCUCUUCCCCCAGGUGGUGAAGAACAUUGUGGCACAGUCGCUCGAGGUCAAGAAUCUCGUCUACCUCUACCUGCUCCACCACACCGAGACGACAAUGGAAAUCCUUUGUUCGGAGAGCAAAACCAAGUUGAAGGAUUUUAGCAUGGCUGCUGUUGGCCCUUUGUACCGUGCCAGUUCAAGGUGUCGGACUGGUUCCUGA
This 390-nucleotide ribosomal RNA is filed under the name Triticum aestivum (bread wheat). RNAcentral's name for it is "partial small subunit ribosomal RNA". The record is from RNAcentral. Lineage: Eukaryota; Viridiplantae; Streptophyta; Magnoliopsida; Poales; Poaceae.